RNAcentral lists this long non-coding RNA (216 nucleotides) under Malus domestica (apple). RNAcentral describes it as "long non-coding RNA (MDOM_LNC016613)". The record is from RNAcentral. Lineage: Eukaryota; Viridiplantae; Streptophyta; Magnoliopsida; Rosales; Rosaceae.
UUGCACUUCUAAGAUCUUGAUUUGUCUGACCUCUUCUCUCUUCAACACCUUUGAAAAUGUCUGGCCCUUCCGACCGUCGUUUUGACUUGAACCUUGUUGAAGAGGCAGUUACGCCUUCUCCCCUACUGGUCCUCUUACCGUUGGGGAUUCCGUGAUGAAGAAUGAUAUGACCGCUGCGGUGGUGGCCAAGAACCUUCUCACUCCCAAAGAUAACAG